UACGGGGGGGGCAAGCGUUGUUCGGAAUUACUGGGCGUAAAGGGCUCGUAGGCGGCCAACUAAGUCGGAUGUGAAAUCCCCAGGCUCAACUUGGGAUCUGCAUCCGAUACUGGAUGGCUUGAAUUCGGGAGAGGGAUGCAGAAUUCCAGGUGUAGCGGUGAAAUGCGUAGAUAUCUGGAGGAAUACCGGUGGCGAAGGCGGCAUCCUGGACCGACAUUGACGCUGAGGAGCGAAAGCUAGGGGAGCAAACGGG
Molecule: ribosomal RNA, 253 nt
Filed under: uncultured bacterium
Lineage: Bacteria
Description: partial 16S ribosomal RNA
Rfam family: Bacterial small subunit ribosomal RNA
Source: RNAcentral